AUUGAACGCUGGCGGCAGGCUUAACACAUGCAAGUCGAGCGGAUGAAGGCAGCUUGCUUCUGGAUUCAGAGGCGCACGGGUGUGAAUUACCUAGGAAUAUCCCUGGUUGUGGGGUUAACGUCCGGAAACGGGCGCUAAUACCGCCUAGGUCCUGAGGGAGAAAGUGGGGGAUCUUCUGAAAUCUUUCUCUCAGAUGAGCUUAGGUCGGAUUUGCUAGUUGGUGGGGUAAAGGCCUACCAAGCCGACGAUCCGUAACUGGUCUGAGAGGAUGAUCAGUCACACUGGAAGUGAGACACGGUCCAGACUCCUACGGGAGGCGGCAGUGGGGAAUAUUGGACAAUGGGCGGAAGCCUGAUCCAGCCAUGCCGCGUGUGUGAAGAAGGCCUUCGGAUUGUAAAGCACUUUAUGUUGGGAGGAAGCGCAGUAAGUUAAUACCUUGCUGUAUUGACGGUACCAGCAGAAUAAGCACCGGCUAACUACGUG
Molecule: ribosomal RNA, 483 nt
Filed under: uncultured bacterium
Lineage: Bacteria
Description: partial 16S ribosomal RNA
Rfam family: Bacterial small subunit ribosomal RNA
Source: RNAcentral